Molecule: ribosomal RNA, 427 nt
Filed under: uncultured bacterium
Lineage: Bacteria
Description: partial 16S ribosomal RNA
Rfam family: Bacterial small subunit ribosomal RNA
Source: RNAcentral
UGGGGAAUAUUGGACAAUGGGCGAAAGCCUGAUCCAGCCAUGCCGCGUGUGUGAAGAAGGUCUUCGGAUUGUAAAGCACUUUAAGUUGGGAGGAAGGGCAUUAACCUAAUACGUUAGUGUUUUGACGUUACCGACAGAAUAAGCACCGGCUAACUCUGUGCCAGCAGCCGCGGUAAUACAGAGGGUGCAAGCGUUAAUCGGAAUUACUGGGCGUAAAGCGCGCGUAGGUGGUUUGUUAAGUUGGAUGUGAAAUCCCCGGGCUCAACCUGGGAACUGCAUUCAAAACUGACUGACUAGAGUAUGGUAGAGUGUGGUGGAAUUUCCUGUGUAGCGGUGAAAUGCGUAGAUAUAGGAAGGAACACCAGUGGCGAAGGCGACCACCUGGACUAAUACUGACACUGAGGUGCGAAAGCGUGGGGAGCAAACA